Molecule: microRNA precursor, 103 nt
Filed under: Marmota monax (woodchuck)
Lineage: Eukaryota; Metazoa; Chordata; Mammalia; Rodentia; Sciuridae
Source: RNAcentral
AGAGGGAUAGCUGGGUCAAAUGGUGGUUCUAUUCUAAGAUUUCCAAGGAAUCUCCAUACUGCUUUUCAUAUUGACUGUGCCAAUUUGCAGUCCCAUCAGCAAU